This 76-nucleotide transfer RNA is filed under the name Sphaerodactylus townsendi. Its description in RNAcentral is "tRNA-Ala". The record is from RNAcentral. Lineage: Eukaryota; Metazoa; Chordata; Lepidosauria; Squamata; Sphaerodactylidae.
AGCAGUGUGAGUCAGUAGUGGAGCAUCUGCUUGGCAUGCUGAUGGUCCCAGAUUCAAUUCCUGGCAUCUCUAGCUA